This 221-nucleotide long non-coding RNA is filed under the name Carica papaya (papaya). Its description in RNAcentral is "long non-coding RNA (CPAP_LNC006998)". The record is from RNAcentral. Lineage: Eukaryota; Viridiplantae; Streptophyta; Magnoliopsida; Brassicales; Caricaceae.
GGGAAAAGAAACAUGCCUUAUCAGAGCCUAUAGGAAUAAAAUGAUUCACAGUGCGAUAAUAGAUUCAAGUCUAUAGAGAAAGUUAUACAAAGGUAAUAACAACACAAAAAAAGUUUCUGAAUGUGACAUUGCUUUUCAAGAUAGUCCACUCCAUGUCUUAGAGGUUUUUCAAGUAUCCAUAUGGUACUUCUUCUACGCAAAUGGAGAGAUCAGCUAACCAA